Molecule: small nuclear RNA, 107 nt
Organism: Jaculus jaculus (lesser Egyptian jerboa)
Lineage: Eukaryota; Metazoa; Chordata; Mammalia; Rodentia; Dipodidae
Source: Ensembl
GUGCUCGCUUAGGCAGCACAUCCACAAAAUCCGGAACAGUACAGAGACGAUUAGAGUGGCCCCCAUGCAAGGAUGACACGCAAAUUCGUGAAGCACACUCCGUAUUU